RNAcentral lists this ribosomal RNA (179 nucleotides) under Ruellia brevifolia. Its description in RNAcentral is "5.8S ribosomal RNA". The stretch from base 32 to 179 matches the Rfam family "5.8S ribosomal RNA". From Rfam's summary of the family: 5.8S ribosomal RNA (5.8S rRNA) is a component of the large subunit of the eukaryotic ribosome. It is transcribed by RNA polymerase I as part of the 45S precursor that also contains 18S and 28S rRNA. Functionally, it is thought that 5.8S rRNA may be involved in ribosome translocation. Lineage: Eukaryota; Viridiplantae; Streptophyta; Magnoliopsida; Lamiales; Acanthaceae. The record is from RNAcentral.
GGGGUACGGUGCGUAUCUUGAAUGUCAAAACGACUCUCGGCAACGGAUAUCUCGGCUCUCGCAUCGAUGAAGAACGUAGCGAAAUGCGAUACUUGGUGUGAAUUGCAGAAUCCCGUGAACCAUCGAGUCUUUGAACGCAAGUUGCGCCCGAAGCCUUCGGGCCGAGGGCACGCCUGCCU